ACUCUGGUAUUGAUUGGUGCUUGCAUCAUGAUUUACAUUUGAGUGAGUGGCGAACUGGUGAGUAACACGUGGGAAACCUGCCCAGAAGCGGGGGAUAACACCUGGAAACAGAUGCUAAUACCGCAUAACAACUUGGACCGCAUGGUCCGAGCUUGAAAGAUGGCUUCGGCUAUCACUUUUGGAUGGUCCCGCGGCGUAUUAGCUAGAUGGUGGGGUAACGGCUCACCAUGGCAAUGAUACGUAGCCGACCUGAGAGGGUAAUCGGCCACAUUGGGACUGAGACACGGCCCAAACUCCUACGGGAGGCAGCAGUAGGGAAUCUUCCACAAUGGACGAAAGUCUGAUGGAGCAACGCCGCGUGAGUGAAGAAGGGUUUCGGCUCGUAAAACUCUGUUGUUAAAGAAGAACAUUUCUGAGAGUAACUGUUCAGGUAUUGACGGUAUUUAACCAGAAAGCCACGGCUAACUACGUGCCAGCAGCCGCGGUAAUACGUAGGUGGCAAGCGUUGUCCGGAUUUAUUGGGCGUAAAGCGAGCGCAGGCGGUUUUUUAAGUCUGAUGUGAAAGCCUUCGGCUCAACCGAAGAAGUGCAUCGGAAACUGGGAAACUUGAGUGCAGAAGAGGACAGUGGAACUCCAUGUGUAGCGGUGAAAUGCGUAGAUAUAUGGAAGAACACCAGUGGCGAAGGCGGCUGUCUGGUCUGUAACUGACGCUGAGGCUCGAAAGUAUGGGUAGCAAACAGGAUUAGAUACCCUGGUAGUCCAUACCGUAAACGAUGAAUGCUAAGUGUUGGAGGGUUUCCGCCCUUCAGUGCUGCAGCUAACGCAUUAAGCAUUCCGCCUGGGGAGUACGGCCGCAAGGCUGAAACUCAAAGGAAUUGACGGGGGCCCGCACAAGCGGUGGAGCAUGUGGUUUAAUUCGAAGCUACGCGAAGAACCUUACCAGGUCUUGACAUACUAUGCAAAUCUAAGAGAUUAGACGUUCCCUUCGGGGACAUGGAUACAGGUGGUGCAUGGUUGUCGUCAGCUCGUGUCGUGAGAUGUUGGGUUAAGUCCCGCAACGAGCGCAACCCUUAUUAUCAGUUGCCAGCAUUAAGUUGGGCACUCUGGUGAGACUGCCGGUGACAAACCGGAGGAAGGUGGGGAUGACGUCAAAUCAUCAUGCCCCUUAUGACCUGGGCUACACACGUGCUACAAUGGAUGGUACAACGAGUUGCGAACUCGCGAGAGUAAGCUAAUCUCUUAAAGCCAUUCUCAGUUCGGAUUGUAGGCUGCAACUCGCCUACAUGAAGUCGGAAUCGCUAGUAAUCGCGGAUCAGCAUGCCGCGGUGAAUACGUUCCCGGGCCUUGUACACACCGCCCGUCACACCAUGAGAGUUUGUAACACCCAAAGUCGGUGGGGUAACCUUUUAGGAACCAGCCGCCUAAGGUGGGACAGAUGA
Molecule: ribosomal RNA, 1439 nt
Filed under: Lactiplantibacillus plantarum
Lineage: Bacteria; Bacillati; Bacillota; Bacilli; Lactobacillales; Lactobacillaceae
Description: bacterial SSU rRNA
Rfam family: Bacterial small subunit ribosomal RNA
Source: RNAcentral